CUCACUGGGGUUGAGUUUCUCCAAGAAGUUGGUGUCUUCCUGAGCAACCUGCAUUCAGAUGGGAGGAAAUACCAUCCUGAGGUGCCAUUCUCCCUCCAUUGCCCUGAAGUCUCAUUGUUGAGCAAGCUGAUACUGUGGAGGCCCUCAGCACACAAAGCUCUCUGCCUCAGAAGCUGGGAUGAAGAGAUGAAGCCCUGAAUCCCCUGUGGUCCUCGUUUUGCACACUACUGUACAUCUCCUGCAUUUCUGUGAUUUGCAUUCCCCUGUGAAGCAGCCAAAUGAAUAAACAUUAAACAUGGAGACCGAAAGAGCAAUAUUCUUGCUAAAGAACCUCUCUCUUUCAAAAAUCAAUGAGAUAAUAUCCUUUUAAAGCUAUUUCCAACUGUUGUCUCUCCUGAUUUGGCUCUCUGGGAGUUGAAAAUAUUGAGGAGAUUACUGACAGAUUUAACAACGGAGAGGUUCACCUUAUUUCGAUCUGGUACUUUUAAUGUCCUCUAAUGCUUUGUCUAUGCUGUGAAGCCAGACAAGAGGCCAUCUCACUGCUUUUAUUUGGUCAGGUGAAGCACUGGGUAACUGUGACUUUCUGGA
This is a long non-coding RNA of Lagopus leucura (white-tailed ptarmigan), 588 nucleotides long. RefSeq lists it as uncharacterized. NCBI's taxonomy places the organism in Eukaryota, Metazoa, Chordata, Aves, Galliformes, Phasianidae. The transcript is spliced from 2 exons. The record is from RefSeq and is a predicted model, not a curated record.